Molecule: ribosomal RNA, 400 nt
Filed under: uncultured bacterium
Lineage: Bacteria
Description: bacterial SSU rRNA
Rfam family: Bacterial small subunit ribosomal RNA
Source: RNAcentral
GGGGAAUAUUGCACAAUGGGGGAAACCCUGAUGCAACGACGCCGCGUGGAGGAAGAAGGUCUUCGGAUUGUAAACUCCUGUCCCAGGGGACGAUAAUGACGGUACCCUGGGAGGAAGCACCGGCUAACUACGUGCCAGUAGCCGCGGUAAAACGUAGGGUGCAAGCGUUGUCCGGAAUUACUGGGUGUAAAGGGAGCGCAGGCGGAUUGGCAAGUUGGGAGUGAAAUCUAUGGGCUCAACCCAUAAAUUGCUUUCAAAACUGUCAGUCUUGAGUGGUGUAGAGGUAGGCGGAAUUCCCGGUGUAGCGGUGGAAUGCGUAGAUAUCGGGAGGAACACCAGUGGCGAAGGCGGCCUACUGGGCACUAACUGACGCUGAGGCUCGAAAGCAUGGGUAGCAAAC